Molecule: ribosomal RNA, 253 nt
Filed under: uncultured bacterium
Lineage: Bacteria
Description: partial 16S ribosomal RNA
Rfam family: Bacterial small subunit ribosomal RNA
Source: RNAcentral
UACGAAGGGUGCAAGCGUUAAUCGGAAUUACUGGGCGUAAAGGGUGCGUAGGCGGUUUGUUAAGUCUGUUGUGAAAUCCCCGGGCUCAACCUGGGAAUGGCAAUGGAUACUGGCAAGCUAGAGUGUGUCAGAGGAUGGUGGAAUUUCCGGUGUAGCGGUGAAAUGCGUAGAGAUCGGAAGGAACAUCAGUGGCGAAGGCGGCCAUCUGGGACAACACUGACGCUCAUGUGCGAAAGUGUGGGUAGCGAACAGG